This 496-nucleotide ribosomal RNA is filed under the name uncultured bacterium. RNAcentral's name for it is "partial 16S ribosomal RNA". It matches the Rfam family "Bacterial small subunit ribosomal RNA", at positions 28 to 523 of the family's 1533-position model. The record is from RNAcentral.
GAUGAACGCUAGCGCCAGGCCUAAUACAUGCAAGUCGAGGGGUAGAAGAGGCUUGCUUCUUUGAGACCGGCGCACGAGUGCGUAACGCGUAUGCAACCUACCUUCAUCUGGGGGAUAGCCCGGAGAAAUCCGGAUUAAUACCGCAUAAAAUCACAGGAUGGCAUUAUCCAAUGAUCAAACAUUUAUGGGAUGGAGAUGGGCAUGCGUGUCAUUAGCUAGUUAGCGGGGUAACGGCUCACCAAGGCGACGGUGACUAGGGGAUCGGAGAGGAUGGACCCCAGCACUGGUACUGGGACACGGACCGGACUCCUACGGGAGGCAGCAGUAAGGAAUAUUGGUCGAUGGAGGCAGCUCUGAACCAGCCAUGCCGCGUGCAGGACGACUGCCCUAUGGGUUGUAAACUGCUUUUGUUCGGGAAUACACCUUAUUACGUGUAAUAAGCUGAAUGUACCGAAGGAAUAAGGAUCGGCUAACUCCGUGCCAGCCGCCGCUGUAA